GUUAUAACGAAUGAAUGACUUUUAAUUGUAUUUUUUAUUAGAAACACUCCCAGCACCUUUUGGUUGAUCAAAUCAUCAUUUAUAGUAGUGGGGUAAGACCUUUCAUUUUCUUUUGUCGUUAUAUCAAACUAUAAAAAUAUUUACAUAAAUAUAGAACCGUAUCUUUGGGAGUCGUAAAUGGCAUACCAUGUACUAAUAGUACCCAUUUCAUCCCAUCCCACUACAUGUAUUUUAUAGGUUGGAUCGGCAUUGGCACUAAAGCACUUUUAUUUAACUUAAACCUGUAAUUAACAAAACAAUAAUAGGUUGUUCUACUUUCCAACUUUCAGAGCUUUGUAGUCUUUUCGUUUAUUUUAAUCUUUCCGUUUAUUUUAUAUUGUUUCUGUAUACCUUUAUACAACAGAAAUAAUAUCUAAAUAUUUUAGUAGCACAAUCUUAGGUACAGUAGGGUGGGGGGAAGAUGGGACACAUUU
Non-coding RNA from Ciona intestinalis (vase tunicate), 473 nucleotides. The record is from RefSeq and is a predicted model, not a curated record. NCBI's taxonomy places the organism in Eukaryota, Metazoa, Chordata, Ascidiacea, Phlebobranchia, Cionidae.